AGGAAAAGAAAUCAACCGAGAUUCCCCUAGUAGCGGCGAGCGAACGGGGAACAGCCGAGUAGUAAUGAAGUAGUGGAAUGUAUUGGAAAAUACAGCGAUACAGGGUGAUAGCCCCGUACACGAAGCGUCAUUAUUGCCAUAUUAAGUAGGUCGGGACACGAGUUAUCUUGACUGAAGAUGGGGGGACCAUCCUCCAAGGCU
Molecule: ribosomal RNA, 201 nt
Filed under: Eucampia antarctica
Lineage: Eukaryota; Bacillariophyta; Thalassiosirophyceae; Eucampiales; Eucampiaceae
Description: partial Bacterial large subunit ribosomal RNA
Rfam family: Bacterial large subunit ribosomal RNA
Source: RNAcentral